Molecule: ribosomal RNA, 1205 nt
Filed under: Haplosporidium pinnae
Lineage: Eukaryota; Endomyxa; Ascetosporea; Haplosporida; Haplosporidiidae
Description: SSU rRNA
Rfam family: Eukaryotic small subunit ribosomal RNA
Source: RNAcentral
GAAUCCGGGGUUCGGCUCCGGAGAGGCAGCCUGAGAAACGGCUACCACAUCCACGGAAGGCAGCAGGUGCGCAAAUUACCCAAUUCUGACUCAGAGAGGUAGUGACAAGAAAUAACGGUUAGCAGCAAAAAAUUGCUUGCAUUCCGGAAUGAGAACAACCUAAACUCCUUAUCGACUAACAAGUGGAGGGCAAGCCUGGUGCCAGCAGCCGCGGUAAUACCAGCUCCACUAGCGUAUACUAAAGUUGUUGCUGUUAAAAAGCUCGUAGUUGGAUAUCAGCCCGCGCGGAAGACGCCGCUGCGUUUGCAGAGAGGCGUCGAAGCGGCUCGCCGCGCAGCGCGGGCUUAGUUCAGGGGGCCGUUCUGGGCAUUAGCUUGCCUGGGGCGGCGCAUCCUGAUCCUUUACUUUGAGAAAAUUAAAGUGCUCAAAGCAGGUUCCGCCUGGAUGCAUUAGCAUGGAAUAAUAAAACACGACUUUGGCGCCUUCGGGCCUUUGUUGGUUUUGAGCCGAAGUAAUGAUUGAUAGGAACAAUUGGGGGUGCUAGUAUCGCCGGGCCAGAGGUAAAAUUCUUUAAUUCCGGUGAGACUGCCUUAUGCGAAAGCAUUCACCAAGUGUGUUUUCUUUAAUCAAGAACUAAAGUUGAGGGAUCGAAGACGAUCAGAUACCGUCGUAGUCUCAACCAUAAACUAUGUCGACUAAGCAUUGGGCAAGUGGAUACUUCCUCAGCACUUCACGAGAAAUCAAAGUUUUCGGACUCAGGGGGAAGUAUGCUCGCAAGAGUGAAACUUAAAGGAAUUGACGGAAGGGCACCACCAGGUGUGGAGCCUGCGGCUUAAUUUGACUCAACACGGGGAAACUUACCAGGGCCAGACAUAGCCAGGAUUGACAGAUUGAAGUUCUUUCUUGAUUCUAUGCAUGGUGGUGCAUGGCCGUUCUUAGUUGGUGGAGUGAUUUGUCUGGUUAAUUCCGAUAACGAACGAGACCUCAGCCAUCUAAAUAGCCGUCGCUAGUCUAGCGCUCGCAAGAGUUCGGCUUCUUAGAGGGACCGCCCGCGGGAGCGGGAGGAAGUUUGAGGCGAUAACAGGUCAGUGAUGCCCUUAGAUGCUCUGGGCUGCACGCGCGCUACAAUGACGCACUCAGCGAGGGCCCGGCUUGGCAAGGCCGGGGAACCUGCAACGUGCGUCUUGGUUGGGAUAGAUGAUUGC